This 490-nucleotide ribosomal RNA is filed under the name uncultured bacterium. RNAcentral describes it as "partial 16S ribosomal RNA". It matches the Rfam family "Bacterial small subunit ribosomal RNA", at positions 30 to 507 of the family's 1533-position model. The record is from RNAcentral.
AUUGAACGCUGGCGGCAGGCCUAACACAUGCAAGUCGAACGGUAACAGGAAGAAGCUUGCUUCUUGGCUGACGAGUGGCGGACGGGUGAGUAAUGUCUGUGAAACUGCCUGAUGGCGGGGGAUAACUACUGGAAACGGUAGCUAAUACCGCAUAACGUCGCAAGACCAAAGAGGGGGACCUUCGGGCCUCUUGCCUGCGGCUUUGCCCAGGUGGGAUUAGCUAGUAGGUGGGGUAACGGCUCACCUAGGCGACGAUCCCUAGCUGGUCUGAGAGGAUGACCAGCCACACUGGAACUGAGACACGGUCCAGGCUCCUACGGGAGGCAGCAGUGGGGAAUAUUGCACAAUGGGCGAAAGCCUGACGCAGCCACGCCGCGUGUAUGAAGAAGGCCUUCGGGUUGUAAAAUACUUUUAGCGGGGAGGAAGGGAGGAAAGAUAAUCCCUUUACUCAUUGACGUUACCCGCAGAGGAAGCACCGGCUAACUCCGUG